Molecule: transfer RNA, 72 nt
Filed under: Urocitellus parryii (Arctic ground squirrel)
Lineage: Eukaryota; Metazoa; Chordata; Mammalia; Rodentia; Sciuridae
Also listed under: 1 other name
Description: Spermophilus parryii (Arctic ground squirrel) tRNA
Rfam family: tRNA
About the family: Transfer RNA (tRNA) molecules are approximately 80 nucleotides in length.
Source: Rfam by way of RNAcentral
GGUUGUGUGGCUCAGCGGUGGAGCACUUGCCUGGCACGUGUGAGGCCCUGGGUUCAAUCCUCAGCACCACAU